GACGAACGCUGGCGGCGUGCUUAACACAUGCAAGUCGAACGAUGAAGCUGGAGCUUGCUCCGGUGGAUUAGUGGCGAACGGGUGAGUAACACGUGAGCAAUCUGCCCUUGACUCUGGGAUAACUGCGGGAAACUAUAGCUAAUACCGGAUACUUUCACUGGAAGGCAUCUUCUGGUGAAGAAAGAAUUUCGGUCAAGGAUGAGCUCGCGGCCUGUCAGCUUGUUGGUGAGGUAACGGCUCACCAAGGCGACGACGGGUAGCCGGCCUGGGAGGAUGAACGGCCACAAUGGGACUGAGGCACGGCCCAGACUCCUACGGGAGGCAACAGUGGGGAAUAUUGCACAAUGGGCGCAAGCCUGAUGCAGCAACGCCGCGUGAGUGAUGAAGGCCUUCGGGUUGUAAACCUCUUUUAGCAGGGAAGAAGCGAAAGUGACGGUACCUGCAGAAAAAGCACCGGCUAACUACGUGCCAGCCGCCGCAGUAA
Molecule: ribosomal RNA, 484 nt
Filed under: uncultured bacterium
Lineage: Bacteria
Description: partial 16S ribosomal RNA
Rfam family: Bacterial small subunit ribosomal RNA
Source: RNAcentral